CAAUAGCGUAUAUUAAAGUUGUUGCAGUUAAAAAGCUCGUAGUUGGAUUUCUGGGAGGGUGCCGCCGUCCGGCGUGUCCGUGUGCAGUGGCGCCCUUCCAUCCUUCUGUUAGCGUCUCUUGGCAUUCAUUUGCUGGUGGCGGGCUCAGAUAUUUUACCUUGAGAAAAUUAGAGUGUUUCAGGCAGGCUAGGCCGGAAUACAUUAGCAUGGAAUAAUGGAAUAGGACUACGGUCUCUUUGUUGGUUUGAGGGACUGCAGUAAUGAUUAAUAGGGAUAGUUGGGGGCAUUAGUAUUUAAUUGUCAGAGGUGGAAUUCUCAGAUUUGUUAAAGACUAACUUAUGCGAAAGCAUCUGCCAAGGAUGUUUUCAUUAA
RNAcentral lists this ribosomal RNA (372 nucleotides) under uncultured eukaryote. RNAcentral's name for it is "partial 18S ribosomal RNA". It matches the Rfam family "Eukaryotic small subunit ribosomal RNA", at positions 592 to 976 of the family's 1831-position model. The record is from RNAcentral.